RNAcentral lists this ribosomal RNA (30 nucleotides) under Pleurotus nebrodensis. RNAcentral's name for it is "partial 18S ribosomal RNA". Lineage: Eukaryota; Fungi; Basidiomycota; Agaricomycetes; Agaricales; Pleurotaceae. The record is from RNAcentral.
UUUCUCCCUAAGGGGUGCCUGCGGAAGGAU